This 86-nucleotide transfer RNA is filed under the name Prevotellaceae bacterium. RNAcentral's name for it is "tRNA-Ser". It matches the Rfam family "tRNA". Rfam says of the family: Transfer RNA (tRNA) molecules are approximately 80 nucleotides in length. Lineage: Bacteria; Pseudomonadati; Bacteroidota; Bacteroidia; Bacteroidales; Prevotellaceae. RNAcentral also lists the same sequence under 2 other names. The record is from RNAcentral.
GGAAGGAUGGCAGAGUGGUCGAUUGCGCUGGUCUCGAAAACCGGUAUACGGUUCCCGUAUCGGGGGUUCGAAUCCCCCUUCUUCCG